Molecule: ribosomal RNA, 253 nt
Filed under: uncultured bacterium
Lineage: Bacteria
Description: partial 16S ribosomal RNA
Rfam family: Bacterial small subunit ribosomal RNA
Source: RNAcentral
UACAGAGGGUGCAAGCGUUAAUCGGAAUUACUGGGCGUAAAGCGUGCGUAGGCGGUUAUGUAAGUCAGGUGUGAAAGCCCCGGGCUCAACCUGGGAAUUGCAGUUGAGACUGAAUAGCUAGGGUGCGGAAGAGGGAAGCGGAAUUUCCGGUGUAGCGGUGAAAUGCGUAGAUAUCGGAAGGAACACCAGUGGCGAAAGCGGCUUCCUGGGUUGUUACUGACGCUGAGGUACGAAAGCGUGGGGAGCAAACGGG